GAGGAGGAGGAGGAGGAGAGCGCCUCGGCCUCCUUCCCGCGCUCCCCCUCGGAGAGCUCCGUGGCCGAGGGGCCGGACGAGGCCUUCGCCUACCGCGACGACACCUCGGCCUCCUCCGACUCGGCCUCCUGCGGCGACGAGGGCGGCCGCCCCGACGGGACCCCGCGCCCGGCGCUGCCCCUGCGCCGCCCCGCCGGCGGCAUCGAGCUCCACCUGGACGGCACUGCAGCCCUGGAGGAGGAGGAGGAAGAGGAGGUGGCGGCACCUCCGUUGCCUUGCAGCCCCAGGAUGCCCGCAGUGCUGGGUGAGGAAGACCUGGGCGAGGAAGAGCUCUCCAAGGAGAGCUUCAACAUCUCCCCUGCCAAGCAGGACCUGGCAUCAGCAUCCGUGGCGGCACCGGGUGAGGAAGAGCUCUCCAAGGAGAGCGGCAGCAUCUCCCCUGCCAAGCAGGACCUGGCAUCAGUGGCAGCACCGGGUGAGGAAGACCUGGGUGAGGAAGAGCUCUCUGAGGAGAGCAGCAGUGUCUCCCCCACCGAGCAAGACCUGGCAUCAGCAUCAGUGGCGGCACCGAGUGAGGAAGACCUGGGCGAGGAAGAGCUCCCCAAGGAGAGCAGCAGCAUCUCCCCUGCCAAGCGAGAGCCAGCGUUGGCAUCCCCGCUGGCAUCGCUGGUGGCACCAGGUGAGGAAGACUUGAGCGAGGAAGAGCUCUCUGAGGAGAGCAGCAGUGUCUCCCCUGCUGAGCAAGACCUGGCAUCAGUGGUGCUGGGCAAGGAAGACCUGGGUGAGGAAGAGCUCCCCAAGGACAGUGGCAGUGUCUCCCCUGCUGAGCAAGACCUGGCAUCAGCAGUGCUGGGCGAGGAAGACCUGGGUGAGGAAGAGCUCUCCAAGGAGAGCAGCAGUGUUUCCCCUGCCAAGCAAGACAUGGCAUUGGCAUCCCCGCUGGCAUCAGUGGUGGCACUGGAUGAGGAAGACCUGGGUGAGGAAGAGCUCUCUGAGGAGAGCAGCAGUGUUUCCCCUGCCAAGCAAGACAUGGCAUUGGCAUCCCCACUGGCAUCAGUGGUGGCACUGGAUGAGGAAGACCUGGGUGAGGAAGAGCUCUCUGAGGAGAGCAGCAGUGUCUCCCCCACUGAGCAAGACCUGGCAUCAGCAUCAGUGGCGGCACCGAGUGAGGAAGACCUGGGCGAGGAAGAGCUCCCCAAGGAGAGUGGCAGCAUCUCCCCUGCCAAGCAAGACCUGGCCUCAGCAUCCCCACUGGCAUCAGUGGUGGCACCAGAUGAAGACCUGGGUGAGGAAGAGCUCCCCAAGGAGAGUGACAGCGUCUCCCCUGCUGAGCAAGACCUGGCAUCCUCAGCACCGGGUGAGGAGGACCAUGGUGAGGAAGAGCUCUCUGAGGAGAGUGGCAGCAUCUCCCCCACCGAGCAAGGCCCGGCAUUGGCAGCCCUGCUGGCGUCAGCAGCCCCACCAGCAUCGGCGGCACCGGGUGAGGAAGACCUGGGCAAGGAAGAGCUCUCCAAGGAGAGCAGCAGCAUCUCCUACGCUGAGCAAGACCUGGCGUUGGUGUCCCUGCCAGCAUCGGUGACCCUGGGUGAGGAAGACCUGGGUGAGGAAGAGCUCUCUGAGGAGAGCAGCAGCAUCUCCCACACUGAGCAAGACCUGCCGUUGGCGUCCCUGCCGGCAUCUGCAUCCCCACUGGCAUCGGCGAUGCUGGGUGAGGAAGACCUGGGUGAGGAAGAUCUCUCCGAGGAGAGUGGCAGUGUCUCCCCCUGUGAGCGAGACCUGGCAUCAGCAUCCCCGCCGGCAUCGGUGGCACCAGGGGAGGAAGACCUGGGCGAGGAAGAGCUCUCCUCUGAGAGCAGCAGCGUUUCCCCUGCUGAGCAAGACCUGGCAUCAGCGACGCUGGGCGAGGAAGACCUGGGCGAGGAAGAGCUCUCUGAGGAGAGCAGCAGCAUCUCCCACACUGAGCAGGACCUGGCAUUGGCAGCCCCACCGGCAUCAGCGUCGCUGGGCGAGGAAGACCUGGGCGAGGAAGAGGCUUCUGAGGAGAGCAGCAGCAUCUCCCACACGGAGCAGGACCUGGCAUUGGCAGCCCCACCGGCAUCAGUGACACUGGGUGAGGAAGACCUGGGUGAGGAAGAGCUCUCUGAGGAGAGCAGCAGCAUCUCCCACACUGAGCCAGACCUGGCCUCGGCGUCCCUGCCGGCAUCGGCAGCGCCAGGCGAGGAAGACUUGGGUGAGGAAGAGCUCUCCAAGGAGAGCUGCUCAGCAGCAGAGACGCUGCCAGACCUGGCAUCAGCAUCCCCGCUGGCAUCGGCAGCACCAGCUGAGGAAGACCUGGGUGAGGAAGAGCCCUCUGAGGAGAGCAGCAGCAUCUCCCACACUGAGCCAGACCUGGCAUCGGCAUUGCUGCCAGCAUCAGUGGCACCAGGUGAGGAAGACCUGGGUGAGGAAGAUCUCUCCGAGGAGAGCAGCAGCGUCUCCUCCUCUGAGCGAGACUCGGCAUCGGCAUCGCUGCCGGCGGCGCCGGAGGAGGACGAGUGCCCGGAGGAAGCUGCCGCCGUCGGCACCUCGCCGAGGGAAGCGGAGCUGCACGCGCCGGGCGAUGCCGGCCUGGCCCAGGACGGCCACAUCCAGGUCCCCUCUGAAGAAGCCGCCGCAGAGCCACCGAGUGACCUGGACACUGAGUGCUUCCUCCCCUGCCCUGCUGAGGAAGAGGAGCCGGAGGCCCUGGGGAUGCCGGAGGCCACCGCGGCGGAGCUGGACCUGCAUCACCCGCCGGAGCCCUCUGUCCCCACCGAGCCACCGCGGGAAGCGGAGGGGACCGAGGCCGAUGUGACGAAUGUGCCGGGGCUCUGCACGGCGCCCGGCGACAGCCCCCCGGAGCCCCCGUGCCCGGGAGAGGCCGAAGAGCCCGGCCCGGAGGACAACGCCGCGGCCGAGCCGGAGCGAGCCGCCGGCACCCGCAGCCCCGCGGAGGAGUCCGGGAAGCUGCCGGAGCUCGGCGCCGACGGCCUCUCGGACGGGGCGGCCUCGGACAGCGGGGCGGCGGGGCGGCCGGAGGGCUCGCGGCCGGGGGAGGCCGGGGAGGAGCCGGAGGGCGGGCGGACGGCGGAUGCCGACGGCGCCCGGGAUGCAACCGCCUCGUCCGAGGAGUCGUCGCCGGAGCAGCCGGACACCUCGCGGUCCUGCCUCCGCACCGACUCCAGCUUCUUCCUCGCCCCCGAGGACAACGCCAGCGAGCCGCUGGCCCCCCGGCCCCGCUCCUCCUCAUCCUCCUCCGGCGAUGAAGAGGAGGCCGGUGCCGCCCGGCUCUGCCCGGCGCCCGAGCGGCCGCGUUUCACCGCCUCCGAGCGGGAGGUCUACGUGGGAGCGCCCGCCGCCCCGCCGGCCCCUCUCGAACUGCUCCAACCACCCGGUGCCUUUUUGGAGAGCCCCCAGCCGCCUUCGGCCUCGCGGCGGCUCCGGGAUCGGCAGCAGGUCGCCACCAUGCUGCAGGGCUCCUUCGGGGAGCUGGCGGUGGCCGGGCGGCUCCGGGGCAGGGCCGUCUCGCCGGAGAGCCACGUCCGCGUCCCCCAGCCUGGUGCUCCUCAACCCAAAGAUCUGGAUGUCCCGCUGUCCCCGGAGCGCCUGGAUGUCCCGCUGUCCCCGGAGCGCCUGGACGUCCCGCCGUCCCCGGAGCAUCCCGAUGUGGGGAGCGCCUGCCCCGCUCCUCCAUGCGUGGAGGCAUCUCCUGGCCCCAUGGUGCUGGAGGAGGAGACCCUCGUUGGGGGUCUCCCGGUGGAGAGCAGCCCCACGCCACCCUCGAGCCCCGGCGUCGAGCCUGCGGCCUCCGUGCAGGAGGACGGCGAGGAAGAGGAGGGCACGGCAGGGCUGCUGGAUGCCACCGAAGGCGGAGAGGCUCCUCCGAGCCCCGCGGAGGUGGACGUCCCGCCGGCAGCCUCCGCGGGGCCCCUGGAUGCGGCCCCCAGCCCCGCCACCCCCUCCGCCGCGGAGGAGCCGCCGGCCGCCUCGGCAGCCCCCCGGCCUCCGCUCUCCGACCUCAUCCAAGUGCCUGCGCUGUCCUCGGCGCCUCCCCGCGCGGGACCGCGGCCGGAGGAGCCGUCGCCGUCACCGUCGCCGCCGGGACGCCCGGGGACGGAAGCAGCAGCCCGGGGGCAAAGGGCCGCGGGCCAAGGAGGCGGCGUCGGCCGAGGGGCGCCGGGCGGCCCGCGGCUCCGUGCAGUCCGAGUCGAGCUCCUCCAGCGAGGCGGAGCUGCCCUACCGCUGCCCCGAGAUGGAGCACCUGCGGCAAGCCGCCGGCAUCGCCCUGCUCGAGGACAAGAAGCCCCUGGCGCAGAGGCGGUGCGAGGCCAACCAUAA
This 4356-nucleotide long non-coding RNA is filed under the name Dromaius novaehollandiae (emu). RNAcentral's name for it is "lncRNA (ENSDNVG00000007237.1)". Lineage: Eukaryota; Metazoa; Chordata; Aves; Casuariiformes; Dromaiidae. The record is from RNAcentral.